RNAcentral lists this ribosomal RNA (388 nucleotides) under uncultured bacterium. RNAcentral's name for it is "bacterial SSU rRNA". It matches the Rfam family "Bacterial small subunit ribosomal RNA", at positions 28 to 416 of the family's 1533-position model. The record is from RNAcentral.
GACGAACGCUGGCGGCGUGCUUAACACAUGCAAGUCGAGCGGUAAGGCCCUUUCGGGGGUACACGAGCGGCGAACGGGUGAGUAACACGUGGGUGACCUGCCCUCAGCUCUGGGAUAAGCCUGGGAAACCGGGUCUAAUACCGGAUAUGACUCCAUGACGCAUGUUGUGGGGUGGAAAGCCUUGUGCGGCUGAGGAUGGGCCCGCGGCCUAUCAGCUUGUUGGUGGGGUGANGGCCUACCAAGGCGACGACGGGUAGCCGGCCUGAGAGGGCGACCGGCCACACUGGGACUGAGACACGGCCCAGACUCCUACGGGAGGCAGCAGUGGGGAAUCUUGCGCAAUGGGCGAAAGCCUGACGCGAGCGACGCCGCGUGAGGGAUGACGGCC